AGUAUAUUUACAAAGUUUCACAACGUCACCACAAUCUAAUUUUAGAACAUUUUCAUCACCCCAGAAAGAAACCGCAAAUCCAUUAGCAAUCUCUAUUUCUCUUUGUCUUCUGCCAGCCCAGCUCAAUCAUUAAUCUACUUUUUGUUUCCAUAGGUUUGUCUUUAUCACUGUUUGUAGUGGGGACAGGUACAGAUGGGGAGAAAAGUGAGCUCUCAUCUGGAAAUGAGCUGCUACUUCUGGUCUCUGCUUGUCUUCUGUCUCCAAAAUUUGAAGUUAAAAUUUGUUACUUUGAAAUUUUCUUCCAAAAAUUCCCAUCUGAUCCCCAAAAGAUAUUGAGAUAUGAUAUCUAUAAACAUAGAUACCUAAAUUUUUAUCUUAUUUCAUAUCUUUAAUCCUAUUUCUUGUGAAUGAGUAACCCUAGUACACAUAUACACAUACUAGUACAUGCCUACCUUGACUGAGAUAUUUCAAAGCCUUGUCUGAACUUAAAAUAAGGGCACCAUGCCUCAAACACUUUCCCCUAAUUCUCUAAUUCCUAGGUUUUUCAGAUCAGGCUGCUAUACCUGUAUCUUGCUGAUGGUAGAUAAGAUAGCCAUAAUAUUAGGUAACAGUGAAUGUCAGGAGACUAGAUUGAACCAUGGGGAAUGGCUUAGUGAAAACACCCCUCUCUACCAUGUGCACAACUAGAAUUGAACAUGGGGAGAGGAAGAAGGGUGGGAGGUCAGUAUGGGAAGUCUCUUUCGUGGGUACUUUUUCCAACCAGAGCAUCUUGGCCACCCUAGCUUCCCCUCCCCCCUCAGGAGUGAUCCUUUGUGAUGUCUGAGCAGCCCAUAGCCACCAUUGGCUGUGGGGAGUGCCCUGAUGACAAAACAAAGCUAAAGAGGUGUGACUCCUCAUUGCCCUGGGGAGGGGUAUAUAUACAGAGGACAGGACCCCUGGGGUAAAAAAUUGAGAGCUUAAACAUGGCAAAGGUGACCAAGAAAUCAUGGGAGCGAAAAUCCACUAGCACCAGGCGGUGGAAGAAGAAGAAGACCCGCUCUCAACCUAAAUCAAGACGUAAUAACAAGGUUCUGAAGAUAUACAAGAAGAUAAAAAGACCAUUUCACAUGACCUCAAG
Pipistrellus kuhlii (Kuhl's pipistrelle) is the source of this 1117-nucleotide long non-coding RNA. RefSeq lists it as uncharacterized. The record is from RefSeq and is a predicted model, not a curated record. The transcript is spliced from 2 exons. Lineage: Eukaryota; Metazoa; Chordata; Mammalia; Chiroptera; Vespertilionidae.